GAUGAACGCUGGCGGCGUGCCUAAUACAUGCAAGUCGAGCGAACGGACGAGAAGCUUGCUUCUCUGAUGUUAGCGGCGGACGGGUGAGUAACACGUGGAUAACCUACCUAUAAGACUGGGAUAACUUCGGGAAACCGGAGCUAAUACCGGAUAAUAUUUUGAACCGCAUGGUUCAAAAGUGAAAGACGGUCUUGCUGUCACUUAUAGAUGGAUCCGCGCUGCAUUAGCUAGUUGGUAAGGUAACGGCUUACCAAGGCAACGAUGCAUAGCCGACCUGAGAGAGUGAUAGGCCACACUGGAACUGAGACACGGUCCAGACUCCUACGGGAGGCAGCAGUAGGGAAUCUUCCGCAAUGGGCGAAAGCCUGACGGAGCAACGCCGCGUGAGUGAUGAAGGUCUUCGGAUCGUAAAACUCUGUUAUUAGGGAAGAACAGAUGUGUAAGUAACUGUGCACAUCUUGACGGUACCUAAUCAGAAAGCCACGGCUAACUACGUG
Molecule: ribosomal RNA, 497 nt
Filed under: uncultured bacterium
Lineage: Bacteria
Description: partial 16S ribosomal RNA
Rfam family: Bacterial small subunit ribosomal RNA
Source: RNAcentral